RNAcentral lists this ribosomal RNA (487 nucleotides) under uncultured bacterium. Its description in RNAcentral is "bacterial SSU rRNA". It matches the Rfam family "Bacterial small subunit ribosomal RNA", at positions 30 to 518 of the family's 1533-position model. The record is from RNAcentral.
AUUGAACGCUGGCGGCAUGCUUUACACAUGCAAGUCGAACGGACCUAGGGGCUUGCUCCUAGGUUAGUGGCGAACGGGUGAGUAAUGCAUCGGAACGUACCGUGUAAUGGGGGAUAACGCAGCGAAAGUUGUGCUAAUACCGCAUACGAUCUACGGAUGAAAGCAGGGGAUCGCAAGACCUUGCGCUAUCGGAGCGGCCGAUAUCAGAUUAGCUUGUUGGUGGGGUAAAAGCCUACCAAGGCGACGAUCUGUAGCUGGUCUGAGAGGACGACCAGCCACACUGGGACUGAGACACGGCCCAGACUCCUACGGGAGGCAGCAGUGGGGAAUUUUGGACAAUGGGCGCAAGCCUGAUCCAGCCAUGCCGCGUGCAGGAAGACGGCCUUCUGGGUUGUAAACUGCUUUUUCUAGGGGAUAAAAGGCCCGUGCGCGGGACAUUGAAGUACCUGGAGAAUAAGCCACGGCUAACUACGUGCCAGCAGCCGAC